AAAUUGAAGAGUUUGAUCAUGGCUCAGAUUGAACGCUGGCGGCAGGCCUAACACAUGCAAGUCGAACGGUAACAGGAAGCAGCUUGCUGCUUCGCUGACGAGUGGCGGACGGGUGAGUAAUGUCUGGGAAACUGCCUGAUGGAGGGGGAUAACUACUGGAAACGGUGGCUAAUACCGCAUAACGUCGCAAGACCAAAGAGGGGGACCUUCGGGCCUCUUGCCAUCAGAUGUGCCCAGAUGGGAUUAGCUUGUUGGUGAGGUAAUGGCUCACCAAGGCGACGAUCCCUAGCUGGUCUGAGAGGAUGACCAGCCACACUGGAACUGAGACACGGUCCAGACUCCUACGGGAGGCAGCAGUGGGGAAUAUUGCACAAUGGGCGCAAGCCUGAUGCAGCCAUGCCGCGUGUAUGAAGAAGGCCUUCGGGUUGUAAAGUACUUUCAGCGGGGAGGAAGGUGUUGUGGUUAAUAACCGCAGCAAUUGACGUUACCCGCAGAAGAAGCACCGGCUAACUCCGUGCCAGCAGCCGCGGUAAUACGGAGGGUGCAAGCGUUAAUCGGAAUUACUGGGCGUAAAGCGCACGCAGGCGGUCUGUCAAGUCGGAUGUGAAAUCCCCGGGCUCAACCUGGGAACUGCAUUCGAAACUGGCAGGCUUGAGUCUUGUAGAGGGGGGUAGAAUUC
Molecule: ribosomal RNA, 679 nt
Filed under: Salmonella enterica
Lineage: Bacteria; Pseudomonadati; Pseudomonadota; Gammaproteobacteria; Enterobacterales; Enterobacteriaceae
Description: bacterial SSU rRNA
Rfam family: Bacterial small subunit ribosomal RNA
Source: RNAcentral